GAAAUGCGAUAAGUAGUGUGAAUUGCAGAAUUCAGUGAAUCAUCGAAUCUUUGAACGCACAUUGCGCCCUUUGGUAUUCCUUAGGGCAUGCCUGUUCGAGCGUCAUCUAAUCCUUCAAGCCCUGCUUGGUGUUGGGUGCCUGUCCCGCCUCCGCGCGCGGACUCACCUCAAAUCCAUUGGCGGCCCCCGCGUCGGCCACGAGCGCAGCAGAAACGCGAACUCGUGAGCCCGUCCGGGCGGCUCCCAGAAGCUACACCCACCCAGUUUGACCUCGGAUCAGGUAGGGAUACCCGCUGAACUUAAGC
This 305-nucleotide unclassified non-coding RNA is filed under the name plant metagenome. Its description in RNAcentral is "partial contains 5.8S ribosomal RNA, internal transcribed spacer 2, and large subunit ribosomal RNA". The stretch from base 1 to 105 matches the Rfam family "5.8S ribosomal RNA", at positions 50 to 154 of the family's 154-position model. The record is from RNAcentral.